GUUAUAUCUGAUAAGGAAGCCCCAAGAUAUUUCCAAACACCCCUCUUCUCAGUCAUUUGAAGUAGCCUGUAAAUCUAACAUUUAAUUGAUCUUGCCAUAACAUGAUUGAAAAUAAUUUGAGAUUUAGGAUGGUUAAUUACCGAGCAUAAUAGAGAACAAUAAUAAUCAAUAAUGACUUUCAAACAAGCAAUAUCCCUCACUAUAGCCCUCGAGACUAGUAAGCAAUAAUUAGCAAAGAAAACAAGUGAUACUAUAGGGCUACAUCUAGCCAGUCUAUAUGCCCUCACUAUAUUAUGUUAUUCUCUACCGUAUAAUGGAAGAAUAUAGAUAGAACCUUAGAACAGAGGGUGCAUAAAUCGGAUGAAAAUGAAUAGCCUCGUCUAAGCCCUCCAAUAGGCCAAAACCAC
This 407-nucleotide long non-coding RNA is filed under the name Elaeis guineensis (African oil palm). RNAcentral describes it as "long non-coding RNA (EGUI_LNC020252)". The record is from RNAcentral. Lineage: Eukaryota; Viridiplantae; Streptophyta; Magnoliopsida; Arecales; Arecaceae.